UACGUAGGAGGCGAGCGUUGUCCGGAUUUACUGGGCGUAAAGAGCGCGUAGGCGGCCUGAUAAGUCUGAAGUGAAAUCUCCUGGCUCAACUAGGAGGGUGCUUUGGAUACUGUCAAGCUGGAGUGCAUCAGAGGAAAGCGGAACUCCCGGUGUAGUGGUGAAAUGCGUAGAUAUCGGGAAGAACACCAGUGGCGAAGGCGGCUUUCUGGGGUGUAACUGACGCUGAGGCGCGAAAGCGUGGGGAGCGAACCGG
This 253-nucleotide ribosomal RNA is filed under the name uncultured bacterium. RNAcentral describes it as "partial 16S ribosomal RNA". It matches the Rfam family "Bacterial small subunit ribosomal RNA", at positions 524 to 776 of the family's 1533-position model. The record is from RNAcentral.